UACCAGCCCCCUGAGUGGUAAGGACGAUUAUUUGGCUUAAAGCGUCCGUAGCCGGCUUAGUGAGUCUCUUGUUAAAUCCAAUGAUUCAAUCAUUGAACUGCAAGAGAUACUACUAUGCUAGAGGACGGGAGAGGUCGACGGUAGUCCAAGGGUAGGGGUGAAAUCCUAUAAUCCUUGGAGGACCACCAGUGGCGAAGGCGGUCGACUAGAACGUGCCUGACGGUGAGGGACGAAAGCUGGGGGAGCGAACCGGAUUAGAUACCCGGGUAGUCCCAGCUGUAAACGAUGCGGGCUAGGUGUAGGGGCAGCUACGAGCUGCUCCUGUGCCGCAGAGAAAUUGUUAAGCCCGCCGCCUGGGGAGUACGAUCGCAAGAUUGAAACUUAAAGGAAUUGGCGGGGAGCACCACAAGGGGUGAAGGCUGCGGUUU
RNAcentral lists this ribosomal RNA (428 nucleotides) under uncultured archaeon. Its description in RNAcentral is "bacterial SSU rRNA". It matches the Rfam family "Archaeal small subunit ribosomal RNA", at positions 474 to 903 of the family's 1478-position model. The record is from RNAcentral.